AUAGGAAAGAGGACAAUAUAAGAAGAACACAAGCAGGAAGAUGCUUGGCCAAACUCUUUCAAGUUAAGGAGUGGCAAAAAUAUAUAUACUAGGAAACUCUUCUAUCCUCACCCUGAAAUGAUAAGACUUCUGUCUUCCUUGGAAGUUCCAAAUUGCAUCUAGCUGCAAGGGCAUCCUGGCCAACAUGCUGGGGUACUAUCUAGAUUUACAAGAUUACAUACCUGCAUGUCCCACAUGCCCACCAACAGAAUUGAUGGUCUUCUCUCAGGAUCUGCACCCCCACUAAAGUUCUUCCCUUCAGCAGCAUCACCACCAAGAGAAACUUAUGUCAGAAGUAGUAGCUUCUUUCCAGAAAUUGGAGAUUGCAAUUAUUUUUAUUAUUUUAAUCUCCAUAACUGGGAUGUAGUACAGUUAGCUGCAAGAGUCUCAGUCAUUCAUUUCCCAGACUGCUGUCCUGUUCUAGCACUUCAGUUCUGUGAUAAAUACAGCCUGAAGCUCAUUAAAAUCUUUUCACAGUUUCGACCCUCUGGUUAUCAAGACAUCUCAUAGAUCCUGAGAAAACCUUCCUAUCUCCAAAAAGGAGUGGUCUCAUCUGGUUCUGGAACUCUUUCUCAAGCAAAAUGGAGCCCACCAGUUUGCAAGACCUGGAGGAGAUGUUGUCAUUCUUUUCCAGCUGAAGACUCCUGGUACUGUACAGGCAACUGGAAAUGAAGCUACUUUUUUUACAUACUAUUCUUUGCAUCUUUGCAAUUUUACCAUCCUGAAAUUUGAUGAAACAUGUGUCUGCAGAUGAACUGGGGAUUUCCAUUUGUGCAGUAAUAGAUUUUGGCUGGUGAAGGAGCAGACAACUGCCAAGAGCCAAUUCUCUGACCUUUGGAUGGUCCUCUAGUAUGGCCAAUGUCCCUGCAGAAUAUAAACUGAGUAGCUGAGUAGCUAAAUAAAGAUCAAGGCCAAGUCAAAGUCAUGACUAGACAUCCAGCCCUGAACAAAUAUUUACUACCCAUUCUUGACUGAAUAGGAACAAAGGUCUUUUUUACUAAUAUUUUAUAUGAUUUUAAAGUGUUCUGGCUUCAAAGCCAUUUUAAUUUUUUUUUUUAAUUUGUGCUUAGAACAAAUUUUUUGGAAGCAUUUG
Mauremys mutica (yellowpond turtle) is the source of this 1132-nucleotide long non-coding RNA. RefSeq lists it as uncharacterized. Lineage: Eukaryota; Metazoa; Chordata; Testudines; Geoemydidae. The transcript is spliced from 3 exons. The record is from RefSeq and is a predicted model, not a curated record.